RNA transcript from Dromiciops gliroides (monito del monte), 6581 nucleotides. It is a transcript of the gene named ankyrin repeat and sterile alpha motif domain containing 1A, with no coding region annotated. The transcript is spliced from 25 exons. Lineage: Eukaryota; Metazoa; Chordata; Mammalia; Microbiotheria; Microbiotheriidae. The record is from RefSeq and is a predicted model, not a curated record.
GGGGUCCGGGGGGUCCGGGGAGGAGGAAGGCGGACCCAGUAGGAUGGGGAAGGAGCAGGAGUUGCUGGAGGCGGCCCGCACCGGGCACCUCCCGGCGGUGGAGAAGCUGCUGUCCGGGAAGCGGCUCUCUUCGGGCUUCGGCGGUGGCGGCGGCGGCUCUGGCGGCGGCUCCGGGGGCGGCUCCGGAGGCGGCGGCGGCGGUGGCGGCCUGGGCUCCUCCAGUCACCCCCUCUCCAGUCUCCUCAGCAUCUGGAGAGGACCCAACGUGAAUUGUGUUGAUAGCACUGGCUAUACCCCUCUGCAUCAUGCAGCUCUGAAUGGACACAAGGACGUGGUGGAAGUUCUUCUGAGGAAUGAUGCAUUGACCAAUGUGGCUGACUGUAAAGGCUGUUACCCUCUUCACCUGGCUGCCUGGAAGGGGGAUGCUCAGAUAGUUCGAUUACUCAUCCACCAAGGACCCUCCCAUACCAAAGUCAAUGAACAGAAUGCUCUUGAGAUCAAAGAACUCAAAAAGUACGGCCCCUUUGACCCUUAUAUCAAUGCAAAGAACAAUGACAAUGAGACAGCCCUCCACUGUGCAGCUCAAUAUGGCCACACAGAGGUGGUGAAGGUUCUCUUGGAGGAAUUAACUGAUCCUACCAUGCGCAAUAACAAGUUUGAGACACCGCUGGACCUGGCUGCACUCUAUGGGAGGCUGGAGGUGGUGAAGAUGCUGCUUAAUGCUCAUCCCAAUCUCUUAAGCUGCAAUACUAAGAAACACACUCCUCUGCACUUGGCUGCACGAAAUGGCCACAAAGCUGUGGUCCGUGUCCUUCUGGAUGCUGGGAUGGAUAGCAACUACCAGACGGAGAAGGGCAGUGCUUUGCAUGAGGCUGCUUUGUUUGGCAAGACAGAUGUGGUUCAAAUCCUGCUGGCUGCAGGAAUUGAUGUGAACAUAAAAGAUAAUCGGGGGCUAACUGCACUAGACACUGUGCGAGAGCUUCCUUCCCAGAAGAGUCAGCAGAUAGCAGCAUUUAUUGAAGAACACAUGACUGGGAAAGGAAGUACAAAAGGAGGAGACAAACCUAUCAGAGCCCAGCCACCAUUCAUCCCUAAUGUGGACUCAGCAUCUCUGAAGUCUCAAGGUGAUGUGGAGAAAGCAGUAAAUGAGCUGAUCAUUGAUUUUGACAUGAACUCACAGGAGGAAGGUCCCUACGAAGCUCUGUAUAAUGCCAUUUCCUGCCACUCAUUAGAUAGCAUGACCAGUGGAAAGUCUUCUGACAGAGAAUCUGUGACCAAGGAGGCAGAAGCAACCAUUGUGAAAGCAUCUUCAGUGAGGCCGAGAGAACGUCCACCCCCUCCAGCAAAACCACCACCAGAGGAAGAGGAAGAGGAAGACACUGAAAUGGAACUUUGUCCCCAUAUAUCCUCUGAGGUUCAAGUCAUGAGAAGUAGGAGCCAGGGCAGCGCACCCAAGGAGGAUGAUGAGCAUCCUUAUGAGCUGUUGCUAACAGCAGAAACUAAGAAGCUAGUGCCAUUGGAGGGAAAAGCAAAAGACCAGGGGAGGAGCAGCAGCAGCCGGAGCCAGGACUCUGCAGAGGGACUAGACGGGCAGGUCCCAGAGCAGUUUUCAGGUCUUCUACACGGCUCUUCUCCAGUGUGUGAAAUCAGUGAGGACCCUUUCCAGCUUCUUUCCACUGUGAGCCAGGGUGCUUCCGAAGGGUCGUCCAGGCAGGGCACAAGUCACGAAGCUGCUAUGCAGCUGGAGGAUGCUGCUUUGCACACUCCUGGAUCUACCCGGCCCAGCCUUCCUGACCAAAAUAAGAAACUGGGUUAUUCAGCUGGCCUGCCUACCAACCCCAGCCAAUCGGACCCUGAAACUUUGAUGCAUGAGAUAUCUCAGCACCCUGGUGGUGCCGAAGAAGCAGGAGACUGGAGUGGGACCAGGAGCUGGGCCCCUCCCACUAGCAGACCAAAAGCCGAACUUAAACUCAGCCGCAGUUUGUCCAAGUCAGACUCUGAUCUCCUGACCUGCUCACCAACAGAAGAUACCACAAUGGGGAGUAGGAGCGAGUCCUUGUCCAACUGUAGCAUUGGGAAGAAGCGGCUGGAAAAGUCUCCUUCCUUUGCCUCAGAGUGGGAUGAGAUUGAAAAGAUCAUGAGUUCAAUCGGGGAAGGCAUAGACUUUUCUCAGGAACAGCAGAAGAUCUCAGGUUCACGGAUGUUGGAGCAGAGUGUUGGGGAGUGGCUGGAGUCAGUUGGUUUGCAGCAGUACGAAAGCAAGUUGCUUCUGAAUGGCUUUGAUGAUGUUCGCUUCUUGGGCAGUAACGUGAUGGAAGACCAGGAUCUCCGGGACAUUGGGAUCAGCGAACCCCAGCACCGGCGGAAGCUUCUCCAGGCUGCAAGGUCUUUGCCUAAGGUAAAACCUCUGGGCUGUGAUGGAAAUCCCCAGCCAUCUGUCCCGUCCUGGCUUGACUCUCUGGGACUGCAGGACUAUAUCCAGUCUUUCCUGUCGAGUGGCUACAGUUCUAUCGACACUGUGAAAAACCUCUGGGAGCUGGAGCUAGUUAAUGUGCUAAAGGUUCACCUGCUUGGCCACCGGAAGCGGAUCAUCGCCUCUCUUGCAGAUCGGCCCUAUGAGGAGCCUCCCCAGAAGCCCCCUCGCUUCUCCCAGCUUCGAUGCCAAGAUCUGCUUUCCCAAACAUCCUCUCCCCUGAGCCAGAAUGAGUCUUGCACCGGGAGGUCAGCAGACCUACUACUGCCCUCAGGGGAUACCGGCAAGAGGCGACAGGACAGCUGCCGUGACCCAGCUGCCCAUGGCCGAGCUGAGCGUUUUCAGACACAGGAAGAUCCCCGGGAGGCCAAACUGACCCUGCGCCCUCCCAGCCUGGCUGCUCCUUAUGCCCCUGUGCAGAGCUGGCAGCACCAGCCCGAGAAGCUCAUCUUCGAAUCUUGUGGUUAUGAAGCCAAUUACUUGGGCUCUAUGCUGAUUAAAGAUCUUCGUGGGACAGAGUCCACACAAGAUGCCUGUGCCAAGAUGCGGAAAUCAACGGAGCAGAUGAAGAAGAUUCCAACCAUAAUUCUUUCCAUCACCUACAAAGGAGUUAAAUUCAUUGAUGCCUCUAAUAAGAACAUCAUUGCAGAGCAUGAGAUUCGGAACAUCUCCUGCGCUGCCCAGGACCCCGAGGACCUCUGCACCUUCGCCUACAUCACCAAGGACCUGCAGACGAGCCACCACUAUUGCCAUGUGUUCAGCACUGUGGAUGUGAAUCUGACCUAUGAGAUCAUCCUGACGCUGGGACAGGCAUUUGAGGUGGCCUAUCAGCUGGCCCUGCAGGCCCAGAAAGCCAAGCCAGGUGGGGCCUCAGCAGCUGAGAUGAUAGAAACAAAAGCUUCCAAACCGGUGCCUAAGCCUCGAGUUGGCAUGAGGAAAUCUGCAUUGGAACCAUCUGACAUGGACCAAGAUACCCAGUCUCAUGCCAGUGUCUCCUGGGUAGUGGACCCAAAACCGGAUUCCAAAAGGAGCCUCAGCACUAAGUAUGAGACCACUAUCUUCUAAAACCAACCCAGCCCCUGUCUCCACUAGUCUCACUGUGCCUUUACCAUCUGAUCUGUCUGCUGUUUUCAGCUCUCUCCUUCCAGCUGCUGAUGCUGAGCCACUGGGAAACCAAACUGCUGCGGAAAAAUAGUCCUGGGGGGCAACAGACUGCUGCCGCCACUGCCUCACCCGCCAUCAUGAAGAUCCAGGCUCAGCCUCUGCUUUGGGGAUCGCCUUCCUGCUGCUCAGCAAGGCUUUCCACAGCCAAGCCUCGAAAAUAGCUCCCCUAUCCCCAUCCCUCUCUGCCCCUGCCUGGAGAGCAGCACCUCAGGGUCUCUCUGUAGCAGAUGAGAUUGGGAUUCCAGGGGCCAAGAAAUGACGCUGGGUUUUUUAGCUUGUCCAGAAAAAAACUUUUUUUUAAUAGAAAAAAUGACUACCCGUGGCCUGGGCCCAUAGGAAGACUGCCAAUCUUCAGCCAGAAAAUCAUGGGGAUGAAGAUCUUUGGGAAACUAGAACUGGCACAAAACAAUACAAAAAGAACAAUCCUUCUAGGCCUCCUUUCCUCAGAAUGAGACCUUGGAAUAGCAUAGCAGGUUUGAAAGGAAAGCAGUUGCUUAUGGGAGAUGGGUGAGUAUAAGAGAGCGAAACCAACAGUAAGGCUAAUAUUAAGAUAGCUUGUUGGAUUCAGAUGUUCAGAGCCAGCUCAGCUCCUGUGUUCUGUCAAAGUGCACAACUCCCCUUAGAACAGGACCAAGAACCUCGCUGAUAUAAAGUAAUAACAACAGCACCACAACCCUGGAGACCCCUGAAAAGCAGCAGCUCUUAAGCCUUUGCUAGGAUUUGAGAUGUGAAGAGAUGAUGGUCGUUUCCAUACGCUACUGUCCAUAGUGAAUUCCUAGAGCUUUGUUCCACUCUGUGCUCCCACCACCUUGUGGUGACUAAGGGUUUGGGUUGUUUUUUUGUCCACCAGCUCUCCAGUAGCUCGAUAUUUUCUAAGUUCCAAAGGAAAAGAGAAAAAGAACCUUAGUAACAGACCAGCUGAGGCUGAGACCCAGUGACUUGAGAUUGGUCUGAGCAGAUCUUUGCAGUUAGGUGUCACUGUUAACUCUCCCACUGCUUGAAUCCCUUUGUUCAUCCCUGGCUCCAAAUAUAUAGGAAAGGGCUUCAAAGCUGGUAGCUGACUUGCUUUUUAACCAGGCAGACAGUGCCUAUUAUCUGUACCAGGUUGACUCACCAGAGCACUGCUAUAUCUCACAACUCCCUAAUUUACUUCUCCUUUCACCUCAGUUUUGUUUCUGGAUUUAAAACAGGGGCUUCUUCCAUUCCAGAGAGAAGGGUCAAGCCCUCAUGGCCUAUACCUAUAUACCUAUAGGGAGCAAAAAGGACUAGGCCUUCCCGUGUGUGCUUUAGCAGACCUAGUAUUCUCAUGGUGCAGUUUAUUCCUGUCCAAGUGCAAAUAUUCCAGGCCUUGGCAACACUGCUCUUUCCCAAUGAAAGGUGUCGAUUGGAAUUAUAUGUUUAUGUGUAUGCAGGGAGGGUCCUUUUGGAAACGCACAAAUUAUGGAUGGCCAGAUGUUGCAGGUGGUGGAUUUGUAUCUUUAGCUGAUUUGGAGCUUGGCCUUGUGGACUUCCUCUCUGUUUAUUCAUCAUAGACUACCGCAAUUCUUUAUCCAACCCUGAGAGCAGUUAAUCCUGGUCAUUUUAGCCCCAGCAGAGGGACUGAGCUCAGUGCUCCUCUUGAAAAAUGGGGUUAGCCUCAGCUUCUUUGAGCUAGAGAAGGACCAUGGUUCUUCUGGGCCUGAUAAGGAUUCCUAGCAACUUGCCUUUGUGCAGUAUUCAGCCUCUAUUUUCCCAGAAAAUUUCCAAGCAAAAUUAAGAUUUCUUCAAUAACAUUGUGCUGUUCCUGCCAUGGUGCUGGAUCCUUAUGUCCUAGGCUCAGUAGCAGCAUUUCUCCAUCUUCCAGAGCUUCACUUUCUUCCUUCUUUCAAGGAAGGUUGUUUCCUUUCCAAGUAGGUAUCUGUGAGUAGAUGGUAGGUCCAAAAAGAAAAUUCUGUGUAGACACUAAGAUGAAUUUCUCAAGUUUUUUUUAAAAAAUCACAUUUAGGUGUUUUUAUUUUUCUUAAAGCUGCUAUGUCCUCUUUAUUUAUUCAGGGUGUUUUCAGAUUGGGAAAUUGGCUGGUCAGCUCUGAUUCUGAGUUAUGUUUUUAGAUUGGUAUAUUUUUGGACAUUGGAGAAAGGAAAGUGACUGAAUUUUUUUUUAUUAAUGGGGGUCAGGUACUCUCCCUUCCCUAGAAAGGGAUAUUGCAACUUUAAGAACAGGCUUUGAGUGGGAAAGCCACUGCUAUCAUACUGUUCUCAGUGCAGGCCGUGUAGCAUGGUUGAACACGUCCACUGUGUUUCUGAACUGUGAAGGAGCCCAUUUAGGUGUGAAACUGCAGCUUUCUUGGAAUGGGUUCAGUUACAUUAAGCUGUCUUCAGUUCCCAGCUCUCUGCUUGAAUUUCCCCAUGUGCUUGCUAACUGUUCUUAGGCAAUAGGAUUCUUCUUCCUAACAAGGCUCUACAUUUGCAACUCUCCAGGUCUCUGGUGGGCCCUCUAGUACUAAAGAUCAGGGGUAGUUUCUCAGAGACAGGCUGGAACAGCAAAGCAAGCACAUUUAUGGUUUGUGAAACUUAAUCCGAGUUUAGUCUGGCUUGAAGGCUCAUCUGAUAUUGCCCAGACUUGCAGAAUGACUGUCAAAUUCAGUUUGCAAAAGGGUGAUUUUGCUAAUUGUGGUGUGUGGCAAUGGGACUGAUUUGUAAUAAAAAUGUUAUUUAAUCUUUGUCUCUGUAUUUUGAUACUUGAAUGAUUUCCCUUUUUAUUUUCCUGUAUAUAUAAUUGUUAAUCUGUCCAAUUUUGUCAGAAUUAUAAACACCUUGUGGUACCAAACAUAACCAAGCUGUGCAACAAAAUAGACUGACCUCACUACACAGAGAGAUUGUAAAUAUUUCUGGGCUUCCAGCGUUGGUUUUGUUAUUUUCAUAACUGUACAACUUAGAACAGACUGAAUAAAUGAGAAGUGACUUA